GGGUGGGGGGAGGGGGGGGGGGGGGCGGAUUCUUGGGCGUAAAGCGCGCGUAGGCGGUUUUUUAAGUCUGAUGUGAAAGCCCACGGCUCAACCGUGGAGGGUCAUUGGAAACUGGAAAACUUGAGUGCAGAAGAGGAAAGUGGAAUUCCAUGUGUAGCGGUGAAAUGCGCAGAGAUAUGGAGGAACACCAGUGGCGAAGGCGACUUUCUGGUCUGUAACUGACGCUGAUGUGCGAAAGCGUGGGGAUCAAACAGGAUUAGAUACCCUGGUAGUCCACGCCGUAANACGAUGAGUGCUAAGUGUUAGGGGGUUUCCGCCCCUUAGUGCUGCAGCUAACGCAUUAAGCACUCCGCCUGGGGA
This 360-nucleotide ribosomal RNA is filed under the name Staphylococcus aureus. Its description in RNAcentral is "partial 16S ribosomal RNA". It matches the Rfam family "Bacterial small subunit ribosomal RNA", at positions 518 to 879 of the family's 1533-position model. The record is from RNAcentral. Lineage: Bacteria; Bacillati; Bacillota; Bacilli; Caryophanales; Staphylococcaceae.